AUAAUGCAAGUCGAGCGAGCAAUUUUGACGGAAUACUUCGGUAGGAAGUCAGAAGCGCGAGCGGCGGAUGGGUGAGUAACACGUGGGCAACCUGCCCUUUAGCUUGGGAUACCACUUGGAAACAGGUGCUAAUACCAAAUAAGCAGCAAGAGCGCAUGCUCAAGCUGAGAAAGGCGGCUUUCGAGCUGUCACUAAAGGAUGGGCCCGCGGUGCAUUAGCUAGUUGGUAAGGUAAGGGCCUACCAAGGCGAUGAUGCAUAGCCGAGUUGAGAGACUGACCGGCCACAUUGGGACUGAGACACGGCCCAAACUCCUACGGGAGGCAGCAGUAGGGAAUCUUCCACAAUGGACGCAAGUCUGAUGGAGCAACGCCGCGUGAGUGAAGAAGGUUUUCGGAUCGUAAAGCUCUGUUGUUGGUGAAGAAGGACAAGGAAAGUAACUGAUCUUUGUUUGACGGUAAUCAACCAGAAAGUCACGGCUAACUACGUGCCAGCAGCCGCGGUAAUACGUAGGUGGCAAGCGUUGUCCGGAUUUAUUGGGCGUAAAGCGAACGCAGGCGGGAAGAUAAGUCAGCUGUGAAAGCCCCCAGCUUAACUGGGGAACUGCAGCUGAAACUAUGUUUCUUGAGUGCAGAAGAGGAGAGUGGAACUCCAUGUGUAGCGGUGGAAUGCGUAGAUAUAUGGAAGAACACCAGUGGCGAAGGCGGCUCUCUGGUCUGUAACUGACGCUGAGAUUCGAAAGCAUGGGUAGCGAACAGGAUUAGAUACCCUGGUAGUCCAUGCCGUAAACGAUGAGUGCUAAGUGUUGGGAGGUUUCCGCCUCUCAGUGCUGCAGCUAACGCAUUAAGCACUCCGCCUGGGGAGUACGACCGCAAGGUUAAAACUCAAAGGAAUUGACGGGGGCCCGCACAAGCGGUGGAGCAUGUGGUUUAAUUCGAAGCAACGCGAAGAACCUU
RNAcentral lists this ribosomal RNA (954 nucleotides) under Lactobacillus sp. AmmhmR5. RNAcentral's name for it is "bacterial SSU rRNA". It matches the Rfam family "Bacterial small subunit ribosomal RNA", at positions 51 to 972 of the family's 1533-position model. The record is from RNAcentral. Lineage: Bacteria; Bacillati; Bacillota; Bacilli; Lactobacillales; Lactobacillaceae.